GCCUCGUUAGCUCAAUUGGAUAGAGUCAACGGCUUCUACCCGUUCGGUUGGGGGUUCGAAUCCCUCACGGGGCA
This 74-nucleotide transfer RNA is filed under the name Caudoviricetes sp. RNAcentral describes it as "tRNA-Arg". It matches the Rfam family "tRNA". Rfam says of the family: Transfer RNA (tRNA) molecules are approximately 80 nucleotides in length. Their secondary structure includes four short double-helical elements and three loops (D, anti-codon, and T loops). Lineage: Duplodnaviria; Heunggongvirae; Uroviricota; Caudoviricetes. The record is from RNAcentral.